RNAcentral lists this long non-coding RNA (318 nucleotides) under Populus trichocarpa (black cottonwood). Its description in RNAcentral is "long non-coding RNA (PTRI_LNC002847)". The record is from RNAcentral. Lineage: Eukaryota; Viridiplantae; Streptophyta; Magnoliopsida; Malpighiales; Salicaceae.
UGGGAAGAAAAAAAGAUCUUACCAGAUCAGUGAAAUGUAAUGGUUUCUCAGGACUGGUUUUGUUCUUGUUCUUGUUGUACUUCUUAAAGAACGUGCAAGUAAGUUCCCGGAAAGCUAUACAUGGACAACAGCAAUCGGUUUCAGGUAGACAAGAACAACAGGUUUUAUCGGUUUCAGGUAGACAAGAGCAACCGGUUUUAGGUGGACAAGAGUAACCGGUUAUAUUAUAUUUGGAGACAAUACCAUAUAAAACUUGAAGAAUAAAGAACGGCAGCUGAUUCUCGAGUAAUAUCAGGUCCCGUUGCACAGCAGAUCUCA